GUGGUGGCGGCGGCGGCGGCGGCAUUGGUGUUGGUGCUGGUGCUGGUGUUGGUGUUGGUGUUGCGGGUUGGUCUACCAGUACGUGGCGAGGACAUACAACAGCCAGUAUGUGGAGAGGCAGUGAGAACUGUGCUGCUCUGGAAUAGCUUGCGGCCAGAGGACGCUGUGAUGGGGGAUUAGUUGGCAGCGGGACAGCACCCUACCUCCUACGGCGAGACCAUAGUGCUGGCGUGCCACAGAAAAGCGGCGGGCAGAGUUAGGAGCUCUGCCCAUCCGGGCACCUCGGAGCAGAGAGACUGACAGGACAGCCGAGGACGCCACGGGGUUUUCCUUGCCCCGCUCCGAUUGACUGGAUUUUAAUUCCGUGGCUGACGCCACUGGACUUUUAGUGUGUUUGUUUUAUUGGUUUUUAUUGUGUGUUCUCCCUGGCCAGGGUUGUUUUAAUUGCUUUUAUACUUUUAAACGGUUUUUGUGUAAUAAAUUAUAUUUUAGUGAUACAGUU
This is a long non-coding RNA of Oreochromis niloticus (Nile tilapia), 502 nucleotides long. RefSeq lists it as uncharacterized. The transcript is spliced from 2 exons. The record is from RefSeq and is a predicted model, not a curated record. Lineage: Eukaryota; Metazoa; Chordata; Actinopteri; Cichliformes; Cichlidae.